CCACCUCUUGGUGCAAACGCCGCUAACCCUAACAGCCCUCGGGUUUGCCUUUGCCUUGAGCGAGGGGCCGCCGCAGGCAGGUUAUUAGAUGGCUCCAGGUGGUCAGUCCCAAGAGGAAUUAAACACUCCUUUUGCGGGCACCUGCGGGCAAGUGGAAGCUGUAAGGACGGGCAGGAGGAAUUCACUCCAGCAUGAUUCAACCUGCAUAACAUAAAAUUCUCUACGGGACAUGUAAAAUAUUAAACAAAAUGCAGCAGUCACUCUCGAACCCCACCCUGCAACCUUCUGCUUUGGCUUCCAGAAAAUUGCCUGUGAAAUUAGAACCCAUUCUUUCAAGAAAAUGGAGGUGAUUCAACCUUCGAUUACACUGAUUGGAGGAGUGAGUGGAUUUGCAUUUAGUGGCCAACACAUGCAAUCUGCCACGGGGAGAGCGCAGAAAAUGCCAGGGCUUCUGCAACUCUCAUAGUACUGUACCAGCCACAGAGUGUCUCCACUACUUCUUCACAGCAUGGGUAGAUGAUUCCAUGCUCGCAGGCCCUAAGGACACAAUCAUUUUACUCAAUAGAAGUCAAGGAAAUUGACACUUUCAUUCAAUCAAGGCUGAUUAUGCUUAGAAUUCAGAUGCUCUGUGCUUAUCAGACUACUUCAUACAGUGUUCCUAUACAGGCACACGUCUAUAAUGCUCACAGACACAUACUCUCUCUGCCCUAUAUAAAUGGAUCCACUUAGAACACACAUUCAAGUAUAUGGAAAUGAAGUACCUAUACUGAGGGCCAAUACCUUAAUUAUUUCUGUAUGGUUCUUGAAAAAUAAAUUGCUGGAAGCAAUUAGCAAUAAAAGGCAACUUCAAAAAGUGACUUCUCCCAGCCCUUUAUUCUGCUUCAUUCCCUCCACCCCAAAAACACCCACAUAAAAUUUGCUUCCUUCCUUCCCCAUCUCCAUUAAAUCCAACUCUUCCUUCAUGUAUGCACUGUUGCAUAUAACAUCCAACCAAUUUGCUGAGAGGGUAGACAAUCAACUGUAACUCCCCUCAACUUCAACUCCUUCCUCACACCCCUUCAAAAGUUUUUUACUGUCAGUUUCUAACAGUAAAACAGGUUUUAACAAUGGGUUCUGAAAUAGUGCUG
Molecule: long non-coding RNA, 1127 nt
Organism: Mauremys reevesii (Reeves's turtle)
Lineage: Eukaryota; Metazoa; Chordata; Testudines; Geoemydidae
Exons: 5
Source: RefSeq, a predicted model, not a curated record